GAUGAAAGCUUUCUUCUUUCCUAAUACAUGCAAGUCGAGCGAACAGACGAGGAGCUUGCUCCUCUGACGUUAGCGGCGGACGGGUGAGUAACACGUGGAUAACCUACCUAUAAGACUGGGAUAACUUCGGGAAACCGGAGCUAAUACCGGAUAAUAUAUUGAACCGCAUGGUUCAAUAGUGAAAGACGGUUUUGCUGUCACUUAUAGAUGGAUCCGCGCCGCAUUAGCUAGUUGGUAAGGUAACGGCUUACCAAGGCAACGAUGCGUAGCCGACCUGAGAGGGUGAUCGGCCACACUGGAACUGAGACACGGUCCAGACUCCUACGGGAGGCAGCAGUAGGGAAUCUUCCGCAAUGGGCGAAAGCCUGACGGAGCAACGCCGCGUGAGUGAUGAAGGUCUUCGGAUCGUAAAACUCUGUUAUUAGGGAAGAACAAAUGUGUAAGUAACUAUGCACGUCUUGACGGUACCUAAUCAGAAAGCCACGGCUAACUACGUG
Molecule: ribosomal RNA, 497 nt
Filed under: uncultured bacterium
Lineage: Bacteria
Description: partial 16S ribosomal RNA
Rfam family: Bacterial small subunit ribosomal RNA
Source: RNAcentral